RNAcentral lists this ribosomal RNA (484 nucleotides) under uncultured bacterium. RNAcentral describes it as "partial 16S ribosomal RNA". It matches the Rfam family "Bacterial small subunit ribosomal RNA", at positions 30 to 507 of the family's 1533-position model. The record is from RNAcentral.
AUUGAACGCUGGCGGCAGGCCUAACACAUGCAAGUCGAGCGGAUGAAGGGAGCUUGCUCCUGGAUUCAGCGGCGGACGGGUGAGUAAUGCCUAGGAAUCUGCCUGGUAGUGGGGGAUAACGUCCGGAAACGGGCGCUAAUACCGCAUACGUCCUGAGGGAGAAAGUGGGGGAUCUUCGGACCUCACGCUAUCAGAUGGGCCUAGGUCGGAUUAGCUAGUUGGUGGGGUAAAGGCCUACCAAGGCGACGAUCCGUAACUGGUCUGAGAGGAUGAUCAGUCACCCUGGAACUGAGACAAGGUCCAGACUCCUACGGGAGGCAGCAGUGGGGAAUAUUGGACAAUGGGCGAAAGCCUGAUCCAGCCAUGCCGCGUGUGUGAAGAAGGUCUUCGGAUUGUAAAGCACUUUAAGUUGGGAGGAAGGGCAGUAAGUUAAUACCUUGCUGUUUUGACGUUACCAACAGAAUAAGCACCGGCUAACUUCGUG